GGGGGCCCAGCAAUGGGCAACCGGCGAACGGGUGCGUAACACGUGAGCAACCUACCGAACUGUGGGGGAUAGCCGGCCUAACGGCCGAGUAAUACCGCAUACGCUCUCAGUGAGGCAUUUCAUUGAGAGGAAACCUACGGGACAGAUCGAGGGGCUCGCGGCCUAUCAGCUAGUUGGCGAGGUAACGGCUCACCAAGGCAACGACGGGUAGCUGGUCUGAGAGGAUGGCCUGCCACAUUGGGACUGAGAUACGGCCCAGACUCCUACGGGAGGCAGCAGUGGGGAAUCUUGCGCAAUGGCCUAACGGCUGACGCAGCGACGCCGCGUGUGGGAUGAAGCUCUUCGGAGUGUAAACCACUGUUGCCCGGGACGAACAGCUCGAUUAAUCGAGCCUGACGGUACCGGGUGAGGAAGCACCGGCUAACUCCGUGCCAGCAGCCGCGGUAAUACGGGGGGUGCGAGCGUUGUCCGGAAUCACUGGGCGUAAAGGGCGCGUAGGUGGUUUGAUAAGGGUGUGGUGAAAGUCCGGGGCUCAACCCCGGAUCUGCCGUGCCGACUGUCAAACUCGAGGGCUGUAGAGGCAGACGGAAUUCCGGGUGUAGCGGUGGAAUGCGUAGAGAUCCGGAGGAAGACCGGUGGCGAAGGCGGUCUGCUGGGCAGUUUCUGACACUGAGGCGCGACAGCGUGGGGAGCAAACAGGAUUAGAUACCCUGGUAGUCCACGCCGUAAACGAUGGGU
This 738-nucleotide ribosomal RNA is filed under the name uncultured Gemmatimonadota bacterium. RNAcentral describes it as "bacterial SSU rRNA". It matches the Rfam family "Bacterial small subunit ribosomal RNA", at positions 65 to 814 of the family's 1533-position model. Lineage: Bacteria; Pseudomonadati; Gemmatimonadota. The record is from RNAcentral.